Non-coding RNA from Paramuricea clavata, 96 nucleotides. Lineage: Eukaryota; Metazoa; Cnidaria; Anthozoa; Malacalcyonacea; Plexauridae. The record is from the annotation of a GenBank genome assembly.
CUAGUUCCUUCGAUAUCAGUGUAAACUAAUAAUCAUGAUAUUUGCUGUGUUGGCAAAUAUCAUGAUUAUUAGAUUACAUUGAAAUAUCAUGAUUAU